RNAcentral lists this ribosomal RNA (429 nucleotides) under Chloroflexota bacterium. Its description in RNAcentral is "Chloroflexi bacterium partial 16S ribosomal RNA". It matches the Rfam family "Bacterial small subunit ribosomal RNA", at positions 355 to 776 of the family's 1533-position model. Lineage: Bacteria; Bacillati; Chloroflexota. The record is from RNAcentral.
UGGGGAAUAUUGCACAAUGGGCGCUAGCCUGAUGCAGCCAUGCCGCGUGUAUGAAGAAGGCCUUCGGGUUGUAAAGUACUUUCAGCGGGGAGGAAGGGAGUAAAGUUAAUACCUUUGCUCAUUGACGUUACCCGCAGAAGAAGCACCGGCUAACUCCGUGCCAGCAGCCGCGGUAAUACGGAGGGUGCAAGCGUUAAUCGGAAUUACUGGGCGUAAAGCGCACGCAGGCGGUUUGUUAAGUCAGAUGUGAAAUCCCCGGGCUCAACCUGGGAACUGCAUCUGAUACUGGCAAGCUUGAGUCUCGUAGAGGGGGGUAGAAUUCCAGGUGUAGCGGUGAAAUGCGUAGAGAUCUGGAGGAAUACCGGUGGCGAAGGCGGCCCCCUGGACGAAGACUGACGCUCAGGUGCGAAAGCGUGGGGAGCAAACAGG